Molecule: long non-coding RNA, 2769 nt
Filed under: Gadus morhua (Atlantic cod)
Lineage: Eukaryota; Metazoa; Chordata; Actinopteri; Gadiformes; Gadidae
Description: lncRNA (ENSGMOG00000032083.1)
Source: RNAcentral
CCGACCUUUGACGACGAAACUGUAGCAUUUUGAAUAUUGGUUUAUGAGCUAAAUUAGACGUGGAAAAUCAAAAAUCCAAAGAAAUCCAAAAUGAGACAUCGGAUCGAGUCCAAAUUUUACACACAUGUUGGUGCUAACCUUAAUGUCGUUCGAUAAAAAUUUCGGAAAAUUUCGCCAUUAGGGGGCGCAAUAAACUAGGAAAUUGUAUAUCUUCUAAUUGGCCAAAGGAAUGUUCUUCAAACUCAAGGGAAACCAUCAAGGGGCAAACCCGAGUCUAUAUAGAAAAUAUGGCCAAGAAUUAUUAAUGUGGGCGGGAGUUAUUUGGCAAAGGAAAAUUGUCCUUGGAAAAUUUCGCCACAGGGCGGCGCCAAAAAACGACGACAUUGUCUAUCUCCUAUUUGGCCGCAGUUCUAGUUAGGGGUCCAAGCCAACAGGUUGGAUCCCUAUUGUUUUUGUAAGGAUUUUUAUACUUCCCGCGGUGAAAGUGAUACUACAGCCCAAACCGUAAAUGUUGCACACGCGCCAAUUGCAUGACUUGAUCCAGAAUCGGCACCGCUACUCAGAUAACAAAAUCCAGACACGCCGGCCCCUAGGUGGCGCUAUACCAAAGAAUACGCGUUUGGGGCUAUAACUCCCACACCGAACCUCCCAGAGUCCAAAAACUUGUACACACAGAUGCACUGGAGUCUGCUGCAUCUUUUGGCCUAGGCCACGCCCAUUUGCGUCUAGGAAUAUUUUUCGCUAAAUCGCAAAAACCGCAAAACUGUUUUUUCGCUACUCCUCCCACAUUUCUCGACCAAUCAACACCAAACUUUGCACACGACAUCUUCAGACGCACACGCAAAGAAUGCACGAAACACUUUUUUGAUGCGACCUUUGACGACGAAACGGUAGCGUUUUGAAUAUUGGUUUAUUAGCUAAAUUAGACGUGGAAUAUCAAAAAUCCAAAGAAAUCCAAAAUUAGACAUCGGAUCGAGUCCAAAUUUUACACACAUGUUGGUGUUAACCUUAACGUCGUUCGAUAAAAAAAUCGGAAAAAUUCGCCAUUAGGGGGCGCAAUAAACGAGGAAAUUGUAUAUCUUCUACAAAAUUUCGCCGCGAAAACGCGACACUAACUUCUCGCUACUCCUACCACAGUCAAAUCCUUUGUAUCCACAUAUUCAGGGUAGCGUUUUCAACACAUGCUUCGCGUUGUGCCGGCGAAACGCACAUUUCUUGUCGCGUUGUGCCGGCGAAAUGCACACUUCUUGGACCCCUGCAUAACUGCUUGCAGUUCUAGUUAGGGGUCCAAGCCAACAGGUUGGAUCCCUAUUGUUUUUGUAAGGAUUAUUAUUCUUAUACUUCCUACCAAGAAAGUGGUACUACAGCCCAAACCGUAAAUGGUGCACACACGCCAAUUACAUGACUAGAUCCAGGUACGUGAAGACUAUGCAGACGACCAAAUCCAGACAUGCCGGCCACUAGGUGGCGCUAUACCAGGGAAUACGCGUUUGGGGCUAUAACUCCCACACCGAACGUCCCAGAGUCCAAAAACUUGUACACACAGAUGCACUGGAGUCUGCUGCAUCUUUUGGCAUAGGCCACGCCCAUUUGCUUCUAGAAUUUUUUUUCGCAAAAUCGCGAAAACCGCAAAACUGUUUUUUCGCUACUCCUCCAGCAUUUCUCGACCAAUCAACACCAAACUUUGCUCACGGCAUCUUCAGACGCACACGCAAAGAAACCCUCAGACAGUUUUUUGAUCCGACUUUCGACGAUGAAACGGUAGCGUUUUGAAUGUUGGUUUAUUAGCUAAAUUUGACGUGGAAAAUCAAAAAUCCAAAAAAAAACAAAAUUAGACAUCGGAUCGAGUCCACAUUUUACACACAUGUCGGGGCUAGCCUUAAUGUCGUUCGAUAAAAAAUUCGGAAAAUUUCGCCAUUAGGGGGCGCAAUAAACGAGGAAAUUGUAUAUCUUCUAAAAAAUUUCGCCGCGAAAACGCUACACUGACUUCUCGCUACUCCUACCACAGUCAAAUCCUUUGUAUCCACAGGUUCAGGGUAGCGUUUUGAACACAUGCUUCGCGUUGUGCCGCCGAAACGCACAUUUCUUGUCGCGUUGUGCCGGCGAAAUGCACACUUCUUGGACCCCUGCAUAACUGCUUGCAGUUCUAGUUAUUAUACUUCCCGUGCUAAAAGUGGGUCCACAGCCCAAACCGUAAAUGGUGCCGACACGCCAAUUGCAUGACUAGAUCCAGGUCCGGCACCGCUACUCAGAUAACAAAAUCCAGACACGCCGGCCACUAGGUGGCGCUAUACCAAGGAAAGACGCGUUUGGGGCUAUAACUCCCACACCGAACCUCCCACAUUCAAAACCUUGUACACGCAUAUUCACUGGAGUCUGCUGCAUCUUUUGGCAUAGGCCACGCCCAUUUGCGUCUAGAAUUUUUUUUCGCAAAAUCGCGAAAACCGCAAAACUAUUUUUUCCCUACUCCUCCCACAUUUCUUGACCAAUCGACACCAAACUUUGCCCACGACAUCUUCAGACACACACGCAAAGAAUGCAUGAAAAACACUUUUUUGAUCCGACCUUCGAUGACGAAACGGUAGCGUUUUGAAUAUUGGUUUAUUAGCUAAAUUAGACGUGGAAUAUCAAAAAUCCAAAGAAAUCCAAAAUUAGACAUCGGAUCGAGUCCAAAUUUUACACACAUGUUGGUGCUAACCUUAAUGUCGUUCGAUAAAAAUUUCGGAAAAUUUCGCCAUUAGGGGGCGCAAUAAACGUGGAAAUUGUAUA